RNAcentral lists this transfer RNA (105 nucleotides) under Kitasatospora aureofaciens. Its description in RNAcentral is "tRNA-OTHER". Lineage: Bacteria; Bacillati; Actinomycetota; Actinomycetes; Kitasatosporales; Streptomycetaceae. The record is from RNAcentral. RNAcentral also lists the same sequence under 1 other name.
ACCGGCGGGAGGGGCCUGACUAAGGUCUCUCUCGUCCAGGUGCGCAGGCAGAGGUUACUUCCACUCUUAAUGGGCGUGUCGCGGGUUCGAGUCCCGCCGCCGGUA